GACGAACGCUGGCGGUAUGCUUAACACAUGCAAGUCGAACGAGAAGCUUUUUAAUGAUCCUUCGGGUGAACUAAGAAGUGGAAAGUGGCGAACGGGUGAGUAACGCGUGGGUAACCUGCCUCAUGGAAAGGAAUAGCCUCGGGAAACUGGGAGUAAAGCCUUAUAUUAUUGAGUUGUCGCAUGGCAAUUCGAUGAAAACUCCGGUGCCAUGAGAUGGACCCGCGUCCCAUUAGCCAGGUGGUGAGAUAACAGCCAACCAAGGCAACGAGGGGUAACCGGCCUGAGAGGGGGAAGGGUCACACUGGAACUGAGACACGGUCCAGACUCCUACGGGAGGCAGCAGUGGGGAAUAUUGCGCAAUGGGGGAAACCCUGACGCAGCAAUACCGCGUGAGUGAAGAAGGUUUUCGGAUCGUAAAACUCUUUUAUUGGGGAAGAAGAAGUGACGGUACCCAAUGAAGAAGUCCCGGCUAACUACGUGCCAGCAGCCGCCGUAA
This 496-nucleotide ribosomal RNA is filed under the name uncultured bacterium. RNAcentral's name for it is "partial 16S ribosomal RNA". It matches the Rfam family "Bacterial small subunit ribosomal RNA", at positions 28 to 523 of the family's 1533-position model. The record is from RNAcentral.